AUUGAACGCUGGCGGCAGGCUUAACACAUGCAAGUCGAGCGGAAACGAUGAUAGCUUGCUAUCAGGCGUCGAGCGGCGGACGGGUGAGUAAUACUUAGGAAUCUACCUAGUAGUGGGGGAUAGCUCGGGGAAACUCGAAUUAAUACCGCAUACGACCUACGGGAGAAAGGGGGCAACUUGUUGCUCUCGCUAUUAGAUGAGCCUGAGUCGGAUUAGCUAGAUGGUGGGGUAAAGGCCUACCAUGGCGACGAUCUGUAGCUGGUCUGAGAGGAUGGUCAGCCACACCGGGACUGAGACACGGCCCAA
Molecule: ribosomal RNA, 306 nt
Filed under: uncultured bacterium
Lineage: Bacteria
Description: bacterial SSU rRNA
Rfam family: Bacterial small subunit ribosomal RNA
Source: RNAcentral